CCUAAUUGUUCAUGUGAGUCGCUCUGGAUAAGAGCGUCUGCUAAAUGACUAAAA
Non-coding RNA from Salmo salar (Atlantic salmon), 54 nucleotides. NCBI's taxonomy places the organism in Eukaryota, Metazoa, Chordata, Actinopteri, Salmoniformes, Salmonidae. The record is from Rfam.